RNAcentral lists this ribosomal RNA (468 nucleotides) under uncultured bacterium. Its description in RNAcentral is "partial 16S ribosomal RNA". It matches the Rfam family "Bacterial small subunit ribosomal RNA", at positions 28 to 507 of the family's 1533-position model. The record is from RNAcentral.
GACGAACGCUGGCGGCGUGCUUAACACAUGCAAGUCGAACGGACAGGCCCUGCUUUUGUGGGGUGCUCGAGUGGCGAACGGGUGAGUAACACGUGAGUAACCUGCCCUUGUCUUUGGGAUAACUCCAGGAAACUGGGGCUCAUACCGGAUAGGAGAUCCUGCUGCAUGGUGGGGGUUGGAAAGUUUCGGCGGUUGGGGAUGGACUCGCGGCUUAUCCGCUUGUUGGUGGGGUAGUGGCUUACCAAGGCUUCGACGGCUAGCCGGCCUGAGAGGGUGACCGGCCACAUUAGGACUGAGAUACGGCGCAGACGCCUACGGGAGGCAGCAGUGGAGAAUAUUGCACAAUGGGCGGAAGCCUGAUACAGCAACGCCGCGUGCGGGAUGACGGCCUACGGGUUGUAAACCGCUGUCGCCGGUGACGAAGCGUGAGUGACGGUAAUGGGUAAAGAAGCACCGGCUAACUACGUG